This 470-nucleotide ribosomal RNA is filed under the name uncultured bacterium. RNAcentral describes it as "bacterial SSU rRNA". It matches the Rfam family "Bacterial small subunit ribosomal RNA", at positions 28 to 507 of the family's 1533-position model. The record is from RNAcentral.
GACGAACGCUGGCGGCGUGCCUGACACAUGCAAGUCGGACGGUUCUUGCACCUUCAAGCUUGCUUGUUGGUUCAAGGAUAGUGGCGGACGGGUGAGUAACGCGUGAACACCUACCCAUUGGAGGGGUACAACCCGUCGAAAGGCGGGCUAAUACCGCGUAAGCCGUGAGGUGAAAGGCUGCUCUUUGGUGGCUGCCGAUGGAUGGGUUCGCGUCCUAUCAGCUGGUUGGUGGGGUAACGGCCUACCAAGGCUAAGACGGGUAGCCGGUCUGAGAGGAUGGCCGGCCGACACUGGAACUGAGACACGGUCCAGACUCCUACGGGAGGCAGCAGUGGGGAAUCUUCCACAAUGGGCGAAAGCCUGAUGGAGCGACGCCGCGUGAGCGAAGAAGGCCUUCGGGUUGUAAAGCUCUGUCUGGAGGGACGAAGGAAGUGACGGUACCUCCGGAGGAAGCCACGGCUAACUACGUG